GAUGCCAUCAUUUUCUCACAAGAUUGUGAGCUUCACAACACUAAGUAGGGAUUGUAGGUUUUUGGGGGUUUUUCCAAGCUUCAAUUACUCUGCCCAUGGCAGAUAUGCAGUAAUUCCAUUAAGCCUGUGCUGAGGUUUGAAUGUCCCCCUAAAAGCAUGUGUUGGAAGCUUCAUCUCCAAUGCAAUAGUGUUGGGAGGUGGGGCCUACCAUUGCUUUUGUGUUUUUCAGUUCAGUGACUGUGGUUCCCACUGUAUGUAUAGUACGGCCAAUAGAGAAGAGCAGCCACAGAGCUCUUCAGGGAUUCAGGGGCUCUCCUUACAAAUCUGUUUCUCAAGGCAUGGGUGAAAGACCUGUAGUUACAGGAGAGAUGACUCUGACUGAGGACACACCUAGAAACUCCCAAGUCGCUUAUGUGGAGUGGGAACCAGGAAAUCCCAUCUGGAGCUCAACCAUUUCCUUCAUCACUCUAUCCAGCGACACCAGGAGCAACCAACAAACAUCAUUAUAUUCCUUGGUUUUCCACAAAUGUUUGAGAAUAUUAUGUAUAGAGUCAUUAAAUUCUUUCCUCUUAUAAGUAG
This is a long non-coding RNA of Sapajus apella (tufted capuchin), 579 nucleotides long. RefSeq lists it as uncharacterized. Lineage: Eukaryota; Metazoa; Chordata; Mammalia; Primates; Cebidae. The transcript has 2 exons. The record is from RefSeq and is a predicted model, not a curated record.